Basidiobolus meristosporus CBS 931.73 is the source of this 133-nucleotide non-coding RNA. NCBI's taxonomy places the organism in Eukaryota, Fungi, Basidiobolomycota, Basidiobolomycetes, Basidiobolales, Basidiobolaceae. The record is from Rfam.
AAAAAGGGCCAGUGGCGAGUCAAUGCCACGUAGCAUGCAUUGUGCACUACGCUGAAUCGACAUCAAGAGAUUUUGCUGGCAUAAUUUUUUUAAAUUGACGGCCUUCUGGCUUCGCUCUGAGCUAAGGCCGUCU